CUGAAUGGAAAUUUGUAGAAUUUCUUUACAACUGCGAAAAGGCGAAUAUAAAACGGUUCCAUGACUUUAUGGAGACAUUUUCAUUUGUAAUUUCGGAGACAUUUCUUCCCAUUCUUUCCAAGAAGUGACGCAACAUCAACACUCCCAGUAAACUGGACACAGGAAUAUUUGUUCUGUUAGAAGAGCUACGCCAGAGCACCCAGACAGACCAAGUCUCA
This 218-nucleotide long non-coding RNA is filed under the name Oncorhynchus kisutch (coho salmon). RNAcentral describes it as "lncRNA (ENSOKIG00005002232.1)". The record is from RNAcentral. Lineage: Eukaryota; Metazoa; Chordata; Actinopteri; Salmoniformes; Salmonidae.